UAGCAUAUCAUAAGCGGAGGAAAAGAAACUAACAAGGAUUCCCCUAGUAACUGCGAGUGAAGCGGGAAAAGCUCAAAUUUAAAAUCUGGCGUCCUCGGGCGUCCGAGUUGUAGUUUAGAGAAGUGCUUUCCGCGCAGGACCGUGUACAAGUCUCCUGGAACGGAGCGUCAUAGAGGGUGAGAAUCCCGUCUUUGACACGGACCCCCUGUGCUCUGUGAUGCGCUCUCGAAGAGUCGAGUUGUUUGGGAAUGCAGCUCAAAAUGGGUGGUGAACUCCAUCUAAAGCUAAAUAUUGGCGAGAGACCGAUAGCGAACAAGUACCGUGAGGGAAAGAUGAAAAGCACUUUGGAAAGAGAGUUAAACAGUACGUGAAAUUGUUGAAAGGGAAACGCUUGAAGUCAGUCGCGUCCGCCGGGACUCAGCCUUGCUUUCGCUUGGUGUACUUCCUGGUGGACGGGCCAGCAUCACUUUUGAUCGCCGGAAAAGGACGGGGGAAAUGUGGCACCCUCGGGUGUGUUAUAGUCCCCCGUCGUAUACGGUGGUUGGGAGUGAGGAACUCAGCACGCCUCACGGUCGGGGUUCGCCCACGUUCGUGCUUAGGAUGCUGGCGUAAUGGCUUUAAACGACCCGUCUUGAAACACGGACCAAGGAGUCUAACAUGCCCGCGAGUGUUCGGGUGGAAAACCCGUGCGCGUAAUGAAAGUGAAAGUUGGGACCUCUGUCGUGGAGGGCACCGACGCCCGGACCAGACCUUCUGUGACGGCUCCGAGGUAGAGCGUGUAUGUUGGGACCCGAAAGAUGGUGAACUAUGCCUGAAUAGGGUGAAGCCAGAGGAAACUCUGGUGGAGGCUCGUAGCGAUUCUGACGUGCAAAUCGAUCGUCAAAUUUGGGUAUAGGGGCGAAAGACUAAUCGAACCAUCUAGUAGCUGGUUCCUGCGAU
This 939-nucleotide ribosomal RNA is filed under the name Duportella renispora. RNAcentral's name for it is "LSU rRNA". It matches the Rfam family "Eukaryotic large subunit ribosomal RNA", at positions 36 to 964 of the family's 3401-position model. Lineage: Eukaryota; Fungi; Basidiomycota; Agaricomycetes; Russulales; Peniophoraceae. The record is from RNAcentral.